CCUGCCCCGGGAAGCCGGCGCUGCCCGCUGCCGAGCCCCCUCGGUCCCCCCCCCAAAGGGCCGCUCACUUCACGGCGAGGUGACAGCGCCGAGGCCCCCCCGCGCCCCUCUCCCCGCAGCCCAGCCCCGUGCCCAACUCGACGCGGAGCCCAGGGGACGCAAAAAACCCCGCAAGGUCGCUCCGUUUCAACGCCCCCCCUCCCAGCCCCCCCCCCGCCGCCCCUCGCCCCGCCCCGGCCCCUCAGGAGGGCGGCGGGGGCAGGGGGGGCUGCGCCGCCCCCCGGGCGGGGAAACUCUGCCCGGCAGCACCGGGGGAGCUCCGGGGGGGGGCUGAGGGGGUGCCGGGGGGUGCACGGGGGGCCUCCCCCGGCCGCACACGCCAGUCAUUUGCAUGAUAAUGGUGCUCCGCGGGUUCCCCUCCGCCGCGGCCGCAGCGGUUGUUCCCUUUCGCUCGUGUUAAUUAAGCGGAGCGGCGGCGGUGCGGCGGGAGGGGAGGCGCAGGAGGAGGAGGAGGAGGAGGAGGAGGGACGAGGGCUACACGGUGAGUCUGGAAACUCGCUGCGGGAGGACAGCGGCUCGGAGCGGGGCGUCGAGGAGCUCCGGGCUGGCUCCCUGCUCUCGGCGCACACGCGCUGCACGCACACCCGCGCCGAGCUCUGUAGGGCUCCAUAGGCGCCCCUGUACGGCCGCGGCGGCGGCACGGAGCGGGGCGCGGAGCCCCUGCCCCUGCCCCUGCCCCUGCCGGGCGGGCGGGCGGGGGGCGACGCUGCAAGGGGGCGGCCGCUGGGGUUGGGGGGGGCUGAGGGGGGGGGGAGCGGCUCUCCCCGCCGGCUCUGCCGCUGCCGCCGCCGCCGCCGGGCUGCUUCCCCCCGCCGAGCGCUGCCGGCUGCCCCCGCUGGCUCCCCUCGCCCCUACCGCGGGGUCGGUCCGGCUGCCCCUGCGGCCCGGCCCGGCCUGUCCCGCGCCGUGCUGCGCUGCGCUGCCCCGUCCCGUCCCGGGCUGUCCCGUCCCGUCCCGCUGGCGGCGCGGGGCGGCUGCUCGCUCCCAGCCGCUCGCCGGCUGGCGACACAAGGGCACUCUCUGCUCGCCAGCCUCCCCUCGCCUCGCCCCGCCCCCGCCCCGCUCGCCCCGCCCCCUUUCGGCGGGAAGCCCCGCCCCUCGCCCCGCCCCCCGCGCCACACCCCG
RNAcentral lists this long non-coding RNA (1185 nucleotides) under Anas platyrhynchos platyrhynchos (common mallard). Its description in RNAcentral is "lncRNA (ENSAPLG00000028525.1)". Lineage: Eukaryota; Metazoa; Chordata; Aves; Anseriformes; Anatidae. The record is from RNAcentral.